UACGUAGGGUGCAAGCGUUGUCCGGAAUUAUUGGGCGUAAAGAGCUCGUAGGCGGUUUGUCGCGUCUGCUGUGAAAACUGGAGGCUCAACCUCCAGCCUGCAGUGGGUACGGGCAAACUAGAGUGCGGUAGGGGAGAUUGGAAUUCCUGGUGUAGCGGUGGAAUGCGCAGAUAUCAGGAGGAACACCGAUAGCGAAGGCAGGUCUCUGGGCCGAUACUGACGCUGAGGAGCGAAGCGUGGGUAUCAAACAGGA
RNAcentral lists this ribosomal RNA (253 nucleotides) under uncultured bacterium. RNAcentral describes it as "partial 16S ribosomal RNA". It matches the Rfam family "Bacterial small subunit ribosomal RNA", at positions 524 to 777 of the family's 1533-position model. The record is from RNAcentral.